This 288-nucleotide ribosomal RNA is filed under the name Salmonella enterica. Its description in RNAcentral is "partial 23S ribosomal RNA". It matches the Rfam family "Bacterial large subunit ribosomal RNA", at positions 2655 to 2925 of the family's 2925-position model. RNAcentral also lists the same sequence under 1 other name. Lineage: Bacteria; Pseudomonadati; Pseudomonadota; Gammaproteobacteria; Enterobacterales; Enterobacteriaceae. The record is from RNAcentral.
UGGAGAACUGAGGGGGGCUGCUCCUAGUACGAGAGGACCGGAGUGGACGCAUCACUGGUGUUCGGGUUGUCAUGCCAAUGGCACUGCCCGGUAGCUAAAUGCGGAAGAGAUAAGUGCUGAAAGCAUCUAAGCACGAAACUUGCCCCGAGAUGAGUUCUCCCUGAGACUUAAAGUCUCCUGAAGGAACGUUGAAGACGACGACGUUGAUAGGCCGGGUGUGUAAGCGCAGCGAUGCGUUGAGCUAACCGGUACUAAUGAACCGUGAGGCUUAACCUUACAACGCCGAAG